UGCCAGCAGCCGCGGUAAUACUGAAGGUGCAAGCGUUAAUCGGAAUCACUGGGCGUAAAGCGCUCGUAGGUGGCUUUGUAAGUCAGAUGUGAAAGCCCACGGCUCAACCGUGGAAUUGCAUUUGAUACUGCAUCGCUAGAGUAUAGGAGAGGGAAGUGGAAUUUCUGGUGUAGGAGUGAAAUCCGUAGAGAUCAGAAGGAACACCGGUGGCGAAGGCGACUUCCUGGACUAUUAAUGAAACUGAGGAGAGAACACGUGGGGCGCAAACAGUAUUAGAUC
Molecule: ribosomal RNA, 279 nt
Filed under: uncultured bacterium
Lineage: Bacteria
Description: partial 16S ribosomal RNA
Rfam family: Bacterial small subunit ribosomal RNA
Source: RNAcentral